RNAcentral lists this non-coding RNA (45 nucleotides) under Schistosoma curassoni. The record is from RNAcentral. Lineage: Eukaryota; Metazoa; Platyhelminthes; Trematoda; Strigeidida; Schistosomatidae.
GUUCAGCUGAAGAGUCCCAAAUAGGACGAAACGUAUGUCCUGAAU